Molecule: ribosomal RNA, 257 nt
Filed under: uncultured prokaryote
Description: partial 16S ribosomal RNA
Rfam family: Bacterial small subunit ribosomal RNA
Source: RNAcentral
AAUACAGAGGGUGCGAGCGUUGUUCGGAAUUACUGGGCGUAAAGCGCGCGCAGGCGGCUUCUUAAGUCCAUCGGUCAAAUGCCGGGGCUCAACCCCGUGCCCGCCGAGGAUACUGGGAGGCUGGAGACGAGUAGAGGCAAGCGGAAUUCCGGGUGUAGCGGUGGAAUGCGUAGAGAUCCGGAAGAACACCGGAGGCGAAGGCGGCUUGCUGGGCUUGGUCUGACGCUGAGGCGCGAAAGCGUGGGGAGCGAACAGGA